CCUGAGUUUACAACUCUCCAACCCUGUGUAACAUGACCAGCUUGGUUGCCUCGGCAGGAGGUCAGGGGCCCGCAGCCUCGUACGACGGCGCCUGCCAGGAGGAUACCCUAAACUCGUUUUCUAUCAGUGAUACUUCUGAGUAAAAACCAUAAAUAAUCA
RNAcentral lists this unclassified non-coding RNA (159 nucleotides) under soil metagenome. RNAcentral describes it as "partial internal transcribed spacer 1". The record is from RNAcentral.